Molecule: ribosomal RNA, 665 nt
Filed under: uncultured Actinomycetes bacterium
Lineage: Bacteria; Bacillati; Actinomycetota; Actinomycetes
Description: bacterial SSU rRNA
Rfam family: Bacterial small subunit ribosomal RNA
Source: RNAcentral
CGCGGCCUAUCAGCUUGUUGGUGAGGUAAGGGCUCACCAGGGCGAUGACGGGUAGCUGACGUGAGAGCGUGGUCAGCCACACUGGGACUGAGACACGGCCCAGACUCCUACGGGAGGCAGCAGUGGGGAAUCUUGCACAAUGGGGGCAACCCUGAUGCAGCGACGCCGCGUGUGGGAGGAAGGCCUUCGGGUUGUAAACCACUGUCGGGCGGGACGAGCCGGGGGUCGUCGAGCAGGCGACUCCUCCGACGGUACCGCCCAUAGGAAGCUCCGGCUAACUCCGUGCCAGCAGCCGCGGUAAAACGGAGGGAGCAAGCGUUGUCCGGAAUUACUGGGCGUACAGAGCGCGUAGGCGGCCAGGUAAGUCGUAUGUGAAAGGCCCGGGCUCAACCCGGGCAUGCCAUGCGAUACUGCCUGGCUAGAGGCCGGCAGGGGCCAGUGGAAUUCCCGGUGUAGCGGUGGAAUGCGUAGAUAUCGGGAGGAACACCAGCGGCGAAGGCGACUGGCUGGGCCGGACCUGACGCUGCAGCGCGAAAGCGUGGGGAUCAAACAGGAUUAGAUACCCUGGUAGUCCACGCCGUAAACGAUGGGCACUAGAUGUUGGGAGGUCUUGGGCCUCUCAGUGUCGCAGCUAACGCAUUAAGUGCCCCGCCUGGGGAGUACGG